GGAAGUGACGUCCACACUCCCGACUGGAGGCGGGCCGGGCGCCUUAGCAAAUGUUGCCGAGCUUCUCCCACCAGCGGGCAGGGGUUGGCAGUCACGAGGGAACUGCGAGGGCGAGGGAAGAGCUGUGACCUGCUGGAGGCCGGGACCUUUCUCUCAACCCGGUGGCACCUGGGGUAUCGUUUGGAUCAAUAAUAUCCCUCUACCUUUCAGGUGAGGCAAAGCAGGUGACCUUGCUUCCGAUCAGGCCCUGCAGUGACUGGAAAAAGAACAGCAAUCAGAACAGAACAUCUCAUGCACCGACCACUGGACCAGCGGUUCCCAACUGUCAUCCCACUCGGACAUCUUGUGAUGCUGGAGACACUCACUGUUGCUUGCCUGUCACGUACGGGGACAGGGGUGCUUCUCAACACUCUACAGUGCACAGGAUGAACCCCCACAAAGAUCCAGCUCAAAACAGCAGCAACACAAGACUGAGAAACUGUAGGAUUCCCCCCCCCCCCACGCUUCCCUGUGCCAUGGCCUCCGAACUCCCGUGGCAUCCUCGUUUGCUUCAACUAGACCGUUCCCAGCAGCAAACACAAAGACACAACACCCUUGCUUCGGUUCUCUCCAGCCCUCCACAGGUCCAGAAUCAACCUGCCCUUCCCUCUGGAACUGCCUCAGUCACCUGCAGUCCCCAGC
This is a long non-coding RNA of Peromyscus eremicus (cactus mouse), 681 nucleotides long. RefSeq lists it as uncharacterized. The transcript has 3 exons. Lineage: Eukaryota; Metazoa; Chordata; Mammalia; Rodentia; Cricetidae. The record is from RefSeq and is a predicted model, not a curated record.